This 433-nucleotide ribosomal RNA is filed under the name uncultured bacterium. RNAcentral describes it as "partial 16S ribosomal RNA". It matches the Rfam family "Bacterial small subunit ribosomal RNA", at positions 29 to 507 of the family's 1533-position model. The record is from RNAcentral.
AACGAACGCUGGCGGCAUGCUUAACACAUGCAAGUCGAACGACACAUUCGGGUCUUGCUGCGCUCGGGUUCGUAACGCGUGGGAACCUACCCUUAGGUUCGGAAUCCUUUACCGUAGGGGGUGCUAAUGCCGGAUAAUGUCUUCGGACCAAAGAUUGAUCGACUUUGGAUGGGCCUGCGUUGGAUUAGAUAGUUGGUAGGGUAAAAGCAUAUCAAGGCGACGUUGCAUAGAUGGUCUGAGAGCAUGUUCAGCCACACCGGGACUGAGACACGGCCCAGAAUCCUACGCAAGGCAGGAGAGGCGAACAGAGGACAGUGGGGGGAGGGAUGAAGCAGCAAGGCCGGGAAAGUGAUGAUGGCAUGGGAGAAGUAAAGCUCAUUUACCCGUGAUGAUAAUGACAGUACCGGGUGAAUAAGCUCCGGCUAACUACGUG